UCGAACAUUUAUUGAUUUCAAUUAGUCUUGCUAUGAGCCAUGAUGUGUGCUGCUAUAUUCACUUCCCUUCGACAAUAUCGCCACCUACUACUAACAAAACCAUUCAUAAGUCGUCGGAUAUUUCUGCAUCGACUUCCCGCUUCUGUAUUAUCCAGAUCGGCAUGAUCAAUUCCUUGAAUAACCAGUAAACUAUCCUUGGUAUUUAGCAGUUCAGUACUUAAAAAACUCUAAACCCUCAAAUUUCCCUCUUUCCCCACCCCAUC
RNAcentral lists this long non-coding RNA (263 nucleotides) under Linum usitatissimum (flax). Its description in RNAcentral is "long non-coding RNA (LUSI_LNC001710)". The record is from RNAcentral. Lineage: Eukaryota; Viridiplantae; Streptophyta; Magnoliopsida; Malpighiales; Linaceae.